This 702-nucleotide long non-coding RNA is filed under the name Brassica napus (rape). Its description in RNAcentral is "long non-coding RNA (BNAP_LNC026070)". The record is from RNAcentral. Lineage: Eukaryota; Viridiplantae; Streptophyta; Magnoliopsida; Brassicales; Brassicaceae.
CUUGUGAAUAUAUGAAUCAAAGAAAUGCAAAGAAUAUGUAUGACGGUUUACUUCUACUAUUACAAAUUUGAAAUCUUAAAAAAAAAUUGACAUGUACGCAAAAUAUGUAGACGAAUAAGAAAAUUAAAAAAUGAAAAAUGUGGAUUAGUGAAAAUGUGAACAAAUUAAUGCGGGCUAUUAGAAAUGUGGACUCAUAAAUGUGGAUAAUAUAAAUAUAUAUAUGAAUUCAUGUGGACACUAUUUUUCUAUAAUGUGAACAAAAUUUCGUAGAUGAUUUUUCAUCUGAUAAUCACCAAGGUUCUUCAACUUAUAAUAUAAUAAUUUAUGUAUAAGAGAUGUGAGAUCAUAUCUUCUUCAUGAGUUUGAACAGAGAACGACAAAGCUUGAAAUCUCAAGCUCGGCACAAUAAAGAAAAAGAACUGUGGCAGAUUGGAGUGGUGAGCACGAGUUUCAGAGGACAGCCGUCGUCACCACCACAAUCAAGUUAUGGUUUCAACUCUCUAACGGUUUUAUCUUUCGAUCUGAUGUACACCGAUCUGCUGGAGACUUCCCCGGUGACCACAUCCAAUCCAACACAACUAGCUCUUGAUCUCCGAUAAGACAGGUGUGAUCGAGCUCCAAUGGAUAAGACAACUCUGAUUUGUUGAUGUCCACAUCUAAUCUAUAAUUCUAUUAUCCACGUUUUGGUGUCCACGUCCACAU